Sciurus carolinensis (gray squirrel) is the source of this 107-nucleotide small nuclear RNA. The record is from RefSeq and is a predicted model, not a curated record. Lineage: Eukaryota; Metazoa; Chordata; Mammalia; Rodentia; Sciuridae.
AUGCUCACUUCAGCAGCACAUGUACUAGGACUGGAACCAUAUGGAGGAGUUUAGCAUGGUCACUGCACAAAGAUGACAUGCAAAUCUGUGAAGUGGACCAUAUUUUU